This 91-nucleotide non-coding RNA is filed under the name Sideroxydans lithotrophicus. RNAcentral describes it as "TPP sequence". It matches the Rfam family "TPP riboswitch aptamer (THI element)". From Rfam's summary of the family: Vitamin B(1) in its active form thiamin pyrophosphate (TPP) is an essential coenzyme that is synthesised by coupling of pyrimidine and thiazole moieties in bacteria. The previously detected thiamin-regulatory element, thi box was extended, resulting in a new, highly conserved RNA secondary structure, the THI element, which is widely distributed in eubacteria and also occurs in some archaea. The record is from RNAcentral. RNAcentral also lists the same sequence under 1 other name. Lineage: Bacteria; Pseudomonadati; Pseudomonadota; Betaproteobacteria; Nitrosomonadales; Gallionellaceae.
AUCGCUCGCUAGGGGUCUUCGUAACGAAGUGAGAAACACCCUUUGAACCUGUACGGGUAAUGCCGUCGUAGGGAAGCAUCCCCCGAUGCUC